UGAGGAAUAUUGGGCAAUGCCCGAAAGGGUGACCCAGCAACGCCGCGUGGAGGAUGAAGGUCGUAAGAUUGUAAACUCCUGUUAGAGGGGAAGAAUAACUAAGUUUGGAGCUUAGUAUGACUGUACCCUCAGAGAAAGCCCCGGCUAACUACGUGCCAGCAGCCGCGGUAAUACGUAGGGGGCAAGCGUUGUCCGGAUUUACUGGGUGUAAAGGGCGCGCAGGCGGGAUAAAAAGUCAGUGGUGAAAUCCUACAGCUUAACUGUAGAACUGCCAUUGAUACUUUUAUUCUUGAGUUCGGGAGAGAGAGACGGAAUUCCAGGUGUAGUGGUGAAAUACGUAGAUAUCUGGAAGAACACCAGUUGCGAAGGCGGUCUCUUGGUCCGACACUGACGCUGAGGCGCGAAAGCGUGGG
Molecule: ribosomal RNA, 413 nt
Filed under: uncultured bacterium
Lineage: Bacteria
Description: bacterial SSU rRNA
Rfam family: Bacterial small subunit ribosomal RNA
Source: RNAcentral